UACAGAGACUGCAAGCGUUGUUCGGAUUCAUUGGGCGUAAAGGGUGCGCAGGCGGUGUGCUAAGUCGGAUGUGAAAUCUCACAGCCUAACUGUGAUAGGUCAUUCGAAACUGGCAUGCUAGAGGAUUGGAGGGGAGACUGGAAUAGUUGGUGUAGCAGUGAAAUGCGUAGAGAUCAACUAGAACACCGGUGGCGAAGGCGAGUCUCUGGACAAUUCCUGACGCUCAGGCACGAAAGCCAGGGGAGCAAACGGG
RNAcentral lists this ribosomal RNA (253 nucleotides) under uncultured bacterium. RNAcentral's name for it is "partial 16S ribosomal RNA". It matches the Rfam family "Bacterial small subunit ribosomal RNA", at positions 524 to 776 of the family's 1533-position model. The record is from RNAcentral.